Long non-coding RNA from Polypterus senegalus (gray bichir), 650 nucleotides. RefSeq lists it as uncharacterized. NCBI's taxonomy places the organism in Eukaryota, Metazoa, Chordata, Cladistia, Polypteriformes, Polypteridae. The record is from RefSeq and is a predicted model, not a curated record. The transcript is spliced from 3 exons.
CUUGAGGUCGGUAAGAAUAAAUUCUUGCUUGGAAUGUGUUAGUCUCUUUCACUUUGUAAACUCCUUUAAUCUAUCACUCACACUAAAAAUGAUCGCAUGUAAAGUAAAAAAUCAUCAGUAACACACGGAAUAAGUUGAAAAAAGUAUAAAGGGGCUCCAGCACACUACUUUGCCUGGGGGCCUAUGAUGCUGUUAAGAAUGCCCUGAGCACACUGGACCCUAAACAGGACUGGAUAUAUAUAGUGAUGUACAGCUGGCAGCUCACCCCAGCUGGGACGCCCCUGGCAUGGAAGGAUGGGAGAAGACAGCUACCUGCCAACAUUACUUCCCCAAAAACGCUAGAUGGCAGCUCCUCUGGAGUGUAGCAGGGCAUCCUGGGACUUCAUUUGGUUACUCAGCCCUGUUGGGUGCCACCAGGGAGAGCUGUUGAAGGACCUAGGAACUCAUCCUUCCCUUAAAGCCCGUAAGUACGAGGUAGUCAUGAGGACAGAAUCCCCGAAGUACGCCCGGGCUGAAGAAAAUGUGAUUUCUUCAUUAGACCCGGAAGUGCCGGCCAGUAACGUGGUCGGAAGGAAAGAAGCAUUUCUGGGUCAAGGACUAUUUAAAGGACUGAUGUGAACCCAGCAAAGGAGCUGGAGUUGGGAGGUAGA